This 253-nucleotide ribosomal RNA is filed under the name uncultured bacterium. RNAcentral's name for it is "partial 16S ribosomal RNA". It matches the Rfam family "Bacterial small subunit ribosomal RNA", at positions 524 to 776 of the family's 1533-position model. The record is from RNAcentral.
UACGUAGGUGGCAAGCGUUGUCCGGAUUUACUGGGCGUAAAGGGCGCGUAGGCGGCCUUCUAAGUCAGACGUGAAAUCCCCCGGCUUAACCUGGGAACUGCGUCUGAUACUGGAAGGCUUGAGUAUGGGAGAGGGAUGUAGAAUUCCAGGUGUAGCGGUGAAAUGCGUAGAUAUCUGGAGGAAUACCGGUGGCGAAGGCGGCAUCCUGGACCAUUACUGACGCUGAGGCGCGAAAGCUAGGGGAGCAAACGGG